Molecule: long non-coding RNA, 466 nt
Organism: Achroia grisella
Lineage: Eukaryota; Metazoa; Arthropoda; Insecta; Lepidoptera; Pyralidae
Exons: 3
Source: RefSeq, a predicted model, not a curated record
CUCAUUCGAUGGAUUCUCGCGGAACUCUUUUAUUAUACGGCGUCCGACGCGUGUCUGAAACAGAAACUUUAUGUUAACCCUCAAGUAUGAUGUUUGCUCACUGUGCUCAUGUUCCGGAACAUUCCAGGGGUAUGUGGCACACUGGCAGGUAUUGACAACACAUCUGUGCUGUUCCAUUUAUCGCCCAGUAUCAUGAGGAUUCUCUUCCAAUUUGUGCAUGCCACCUGAUAAAACUGGACACAUAUAAAGAAUUUUGACACAAAGAUAGAUUCUAAAACAAAAAUGGAUAUAGGGUACUCUUUAUAUAAAAAAAAUAGACAAAGUAGGAACAUCUAUGAUUUAAAAAAAAUAGUACUUUUAUGAUUUUGUUCAUGACAGACAAAAUUUCUUAUCACAUGCAUAAAAAAUCAUGUUAGAAUUAUUUUAAAAUUCAUAUCAAGUUUAGCAUCAGAGAUUAUGAAUAUUA